This 1467-nucleotide ribosomal RNA is filed under the name uncultured Bordetella sp. Its description in RNAcentral is "partial 16S-23S ribosomal RNA intergenic spacer". It matches the Rfam family "Bacterial small subunit ribosomal RNA". Lineage: Bacteria; Pseudomonadati; Pseudomonadota; Betaproteobacteria; Burkholderiales; Alcaligenaceae. The record is from RNAcentral.
AGUCGAACGGCAGCACGGACUUCGGUCUGGUGGCGAGUGGCGAACGGGUGAGAUUAAUGUAUCGGAACGUGCCUAGUAGCGCAUGAAGGGGAUAACUACGCGAAAGCGUAGCUAAUACCCGCAUACGCCCUUCGGAAAGCAGGGCCCUUCGGGCCUCGCACUAUUGAAGCGAAGCAGAUAUCGGAUUAGCUAGUUGGUGGGGUAACGGCUCACCAAGGCGACGAUCCGUAGCUGGUUUGAAGGACGUUCAGCCACACUGGGACGAGACACGGCCCAGACUCCUACAGGAGGCAGCAGUGGGGAAUUUUUGGACAAUGGGGGGAAACCCUGAUCCAGCCAUCCCGCGUGUGCGAUGAAGGCCUUCGGGUUGUAAAGCACUUUUGGCAGGAAAGAAACGGCACGGGAUAAUACCCCGUGCAACUGACAGUACCUGCAGAAUAAGCACCGGCUAACUACGUGCCAGCAGCCGCGGUAAUACGUAGGGUGCAGAUUAAUCGGAAUUACUGGGCGUAAAGCGUGCGCAGGCGGUUCCGGAAAGAAAGAUGUGAAAUCCCAGAGCUUAACUUUGGAACUGCAUUUUUUAACUGCAAGGCUAGGUGUGUCAGAGGGAGGUGGAAUUCCCGCGAUGUAGCAGUGAAAUGCGUAGAUAUGCGGAGGAACACCGAUGGCGAAGGCAGCCUCCUGAAGUUCACUGACGCUCAUGCACGAAAAGCGUGGGGAGCAAACAGGAUUAGAUACCUGGUAGUCCACGCCCUAAACGAUGUCAACUAGCUGUUGGGGCCUUCCGGGCCUUGGUAGCGCAGCUAACGCGUGAAGUUGACCGCCUGGGAAGUACGGUCGCAAGAUUAAAACUCAAGUUGACAGGGACCCGCACAAGCGGUGGGAUGAUGUGGAUUAAUUCGAUGCAACGCGAAAAACACCACCUACCCUUGGCAAUGUCUGGAGUCGAAAGAGAUUUGGGGGUGCUCGCAAGGGAACCGGAACACAGGUGCUGCAUGGCUGGCAAUGGCUCGUGUCGUGAGAUGUUGGGUUAAGUCCGCAACGAGCGCAACCCUUGUCAAUGAAUUUCUGCUACGAAAGGGCACUCUAAUGAGACUGCCGGUGACAAACCGGAGGGAAGGUGGGGAUGACGUCAGGUCCUCGCUGGCCCUUAUGGGUGGGGGCUUCACACGUCAUACAAUGGUCGGGACAGAGGGUCGCCAACCCGCGAGGAGCCAAUCCCAGAAACCCGAUCGUAGUCCGGAUCGCAGUCUGCAACUCGACUGCGUGAAGUCGGAAUCGCUAGUAAUCGCGGAUCAGCAUGUCGUAGCGUUCCCGGGUCUUGUACACACCGCCCGUCACACCAUGGGAGAGUGGGUUUUACCAGAAGUAGUUAGCCUAACCGUAAGGAGGGCGAUUACCACGUGGGAUUCAUGACUGGGGUGAAGUCGUAACAAGGUGGCUCUGUUGCUACACAGUGCUCCACGA